This 301-nucleotide ribosomal RNA is filed under the name uncultured bacterium. RNAcentral describes it as "partial 16S ribosomal RNA". It matches the Rfam family "Bacterial small subunit ribosomal RNA", at positions 509 to 808 of the family's 1533-position model. The record is from RNAcentral.
CAGUAGCCGCGGUAAUACGUAGGGGGCAAGCGUUGUCCGGAAUUAUUGGGCGUAAAGCGCGCGCAGGCGGUCAUUUAAGUCUGGUGUUUAAUCCCGGGGCUCAACCCCGGAUCGCACUGGAAACUGGGUGACUUGAGUGCAGAAGAGGAGAGUGGAAUUCCACGUGUAGCGGUGAAAUGCGUAGAUAUGUGGAGGAACACCAGUGGCGAAGGCGACUCUCUGGGCUGUAACUGACGCUGAGGCGCGAAAGCGUGGGGAGCAAACAGGAUUAGAGACCCCCGUAGUCCCUGUCUCUUAUACA